GGCAGGUCCUCACCCUCUCUAGG
Molecule: microRNA, 23 nt
Filed under: Macaca mulatta (Rhesus monkey)
Lineage: Eukaryota; Metazoa; Chordata; Mammalia; Primates; Cercopithecidae
Description: mml-miR-657
Gene: mml-miR-657
Source: miRBase by way of RNAcentral